RNAcentral lists this ribosomal RNA (1173 nucleotides) under uncultured marine eukaryote. Its description in RNAcentral is "SSU rRNA". It matches the Rfam family "Eukaryotic small subunit ribosomal RNA", at positions 577 to 1800 of the family's 1831-position model. The record is from RNAcentral.
CGGUAAUUCCAGCUCCAAUAGCGUAUAUUAAAGUUGUUGCAGUUAAAAAGCUCGUAGUUGGAUUUCUGGUCGGGGUCAACGGUGCGCACUCGCGCGCCUGCGUCCUCUGCCAUCCUUCUGUUAAGCCCGUAUAGCAUUCAUUUGUUGACGGGUGGCUCAGAUAUUUUACCUUGAGAAAAUUAGAGUGUUUCAGGCAGGCUAGCGCCGGGAUACAUUAGCAUGGAAUAAUGGAACAGGACUUUAACCUCUUCUGUUGGUCUGAGGGGUUAGAGUAAUGAUUAAUAGGGAUAGUUGGGGGCAUUAGUACUUAACUGUCAGAGGUGAAAUUCUCGGAUUUGUUAAAGACUAACUUAUGCGAAAGCAUUUGCCGAAGAUGUUUUCAUUAAUCAAGAACGAAAGUUAGGGGAUCGAAGACGAUCAGAUACCGUCCUAGUCUUAACCAUAAACUAUGCCGACUCGGGAUCGGGGGCAGCAUCAUCCGCCUUCGGCACCGUAUGAGAAAUCAAAGUCUUUGGUUCUGGGGGGAGUAUGGUCGCAAGGCUGAAACUUAAAGGAAUUGACGGAAGGGCACCACCAGGCGUGGAGCUUGCGGCUCAAUUUGACUCAACACGGGGAAACCUACCAGGUCCAGACACAGUGAGGAUUGACAGAUUGAUAGCUCUUUCUUGAUUCUGUGGGUGGUGGUGCAUGGCCGUUCUUAGUUGGUGGAGUGAUUUGUCUGGUUAAUUCCGUUAACGAACGAGACCUUAGCCUACUAAAUAGUCGCACCAAUUUACAUUGGCCGCGUACUUCUUAGAGGGACUUUGUACAUUAAGUACAAGGAAGUUUGAGGCAAUAACAGGUCUGUGAUGCCCUUAGAUGUCCUGGGCCGCACGCGUGCUACACUGACACAUACAGCGAGUUUUCCAGCUCCGCGAGGCAGCUGGCGAUCAGCAAUAUGUGUCGUGAUGGGGAUAGAUCUUUGGAAUUUUUGAUCUUGAACGAGGAAUGCCUAGUAAGCGCAAGUCAUCAGCUUGCGUUGAUUAAGUCCCUGCCCUUUGUACACACCGCCCGUCGCUCCUACCGAUUUCGGGUGGUCCGGUGAACCCUUUGGACCUACCUUUGGCCUCGAGCCACUAACUGGGAAGUCGAGUAAACCACAUCACCUAGAGGAAGGAGAAGUCGUAACAAGGU